GUACAGGAAUCUGAUAUGAAAAUAAUAUCCUUGUUUGGGUUUCAUUUGUUGAUCUUCCUUAGAAUGACAAGUGCAGUCCUUGUGUCUUAUUCAUUUUAUCAAAUGUGCUAUUGUAUUUGAAGUAGCCAUUGUUUCUCAUUCAUCUUAAAAUCCUGCAAAAAAAAUGAUAUUAUUAUACACAAUAUAAUUAAUUUAUAAGCCCCAUUGCUAUAUAUAUAUAAUGCAUAAUAUCUAUUACUUCAAUCAUUGUACUUGAUUUAUAUGCU
This 266-nucleotide long non-coding RNA is filed under the name Mytilus galloprovincialis (Mediterranean mussel). The record is from RNAcentral. Lineage: Eukaryota; Metazoa; Mollusca; Bivalvia; Mytilida; Mytilidae.